Molecule: ribosomal RNA, 491 nt
Filed under: uncultured bacterium
Lineage: Bacteria
Description: partial 16S ribosomal RNA
Rfam family: Bacterial small subunit ribosomal RNA
Source: RNAcentral
AGUGAACGCUGGCGGUAGGCCUAACACAUGCAAGUCGAACGGCAGCACAGUAAGAGCUUGCUCUUACGGGUGGCGAGUGGCGGACGGGUGAGGAAUACAUCGGAAUCUACUUUUUCGUGGGGGAUAACGUAGGGAAACUUACGCUAAUACCGCAUACGACCUACGGGUGAAAGCAGGGGAUCUUCGGACCUUGCGCGAUUGAAUGAGCCGAUGUCGGAUUAGCUAGUUGGCGGGGUAAAAGCCCACCAAGGCGACGAUCCGUAGCUGGUCUGAGAGGAUGAUCAGCCACACUGGAACUGAGACACGGUCCAGACUCCUACGGGAGGCAGCAGUGGGGAAUAUUGGACAAUGGGCGCAAGCCUGAUCCAGCCAUACCGCGUGGGUGAAGAAGGCCUUCGGGUUGUAAAGCCCUUUUGUUGGGAAAGAAAAGCAGCAGGUUAAUACCCCGCUGUUCUGACGGUACCCAAAGAAUAAGCACCGGCUAACUUCGU